UACGGAGGGAGCUAGCGUUGUUCGGAAUUACUGGGCGUAAAGCGCACGUAGGCGGCUAUUCAAGUCAGAGGUGAAAGCCCGGGGCUCAACCCCGGAACUGCCUUUGAAACUAGAUAGCUUGAAUCCAGGAGAGGUGAGUGGAAUUCCGAGUGUAGAGGUGAAAUUCGUAGAUAUUCGGAAGAACACCAGUGGCGAAGGCGGCUCACUGGACUGGUAUUGACGCUGAGGUG
Molecule: ribosomal RNA, 230 nt
Filed under: uncultured microorganism
Description: partial 16S ribosomal RNA
Rfam family: Bacterial small subunit ribosomal RNA
Source: RNAcentral